RNAcentral lists this long non-coding RNA (450 nucleotides) under Triticum aestivum (bread wheat). Its description in RNAcentral is "long non-coding RNA (TAES_LNC009275)". The record is from RNAcentral. Lineage: Eukaryota; Viridiplantae; Streptophyta; Magnoliopsida; Poales; Poaceae.
AGAGUGGUUGGACGGUAACCUUCAACCCAAGGUGGUGCCAGCGUACCUUAACGAGUGUGUUUGAUGUUGGCCUCGGAUCUUGCUACUUGUCGAUUAACAGAAAUGAUCUGCUUAGUUUGCGGUUCUUUUGCUGGAGUGUGCUUGUUUUAUAAUCUGGUGUGGAAACUUGCCUAUAAUCUGGUGUGGAAACUUACCCACAGAAGUAAGCAGAAGUGGUUCAGACAGAAGCGGGCCGAGCAAAUGGAAGUGCUGUGUAAUCCAGUGAAUGCCAGUCUUUGGUGUCUUUUUCUAUGGCUCCAAAUUUGUAUGUGGUAAUCUGCAGUUGUUCCAAAUUUGUUGUACUCCAGACUCGAAGGUUUCUUCAUUUAUGCUAGACUUGUAGUGACCCUCACUGAGGGCCAUGUGUUGAUGUUUGUAAAAAAGAUGUGAAUGGUCGAAUCGUUGGUACCU